UUUUUCUUCACUUUCCAGACGGUGAAAGUCCCAACUGAACAGCAGGAAAAGGAAGACAACGAGAAUGACUCACAGAGCCAAAGUCAUGAAUCUGAUGACGUCAUCUACCAGGUCAUCCCUCGCCAAGCACAGGGAGGCGUCUAGGGAGGCACCUAGACAUGGGGCUUCUUCCUGGAAGGUGCACGCUGGGAUCGUGAACAACAUUGCUUGGCGGAGAUGUCAGCCAAGCAGCUACAUGACCAGUUACCUAUCAUCCUUUUCCAACCUGCUGCCCUCCCAGACAUGUCACACCAUGAGGGUAUGUGCCCCCAACACACCUUCUCUUUACUCAUUCCUUUACCUUGCCCUACAUGUUCAAUUUAAUUUUCUUUAUCACUGAGUCAGACCAGGUAUUCUCAUCAAGGUGAUUUAACCAUAUCAUUGGUUAAGAUUUUAUGGGUACCUGAAAAUUGCUCCAUGUCAAAAGUAAUGAUAUGUCAGAAUACUAUUUACAAAAUGAAAUUUGGUUUAUGUACUUUAUAAUAAAACCUAGAUUUCAAACUAUUUGAAACUAUUGAAUGGAUAUAACCUAGAAUACAGUAGACAAUUUUUUUCUGCAAAUUGUUAAAUGACUGGAUUAUUUUUAUACACCAGUUAUUCCUGUUCUCAGUGGAUUUAAAUGUAAAUUAAGUGGUAUACGUAUAUGUUUUAGUUUAUAUCGGCAAAUAUAUCUUGGUGACAACUUUA
Homarus americanus (American lobster) is the source of this 726-nucleotide long non-coding RNA. RefSeq lists it as uncharacterized. Lineage: Eukaryota; Metazoa; Arthropoda; Malacostraca; Decapoda; Nephropidae. The transcript has 2 exons. The record is from RefSeq and is a predicted model, not a curated record.